Anneissia japonica is the source of this 1218-nucleotide long non-coding RNA. RefSeq lists it as uncharacterized. NCBI's taxonomy places the organism in Eukaryota, Metazoa, Echinodermata, Crinoidea, Comatulida, Comatulidae. The record is from RefSeq and is a predicted model, not a curated record. The transcript has 2 exons.
CUUCUCACUCCCAUUCUUAGUUCAGUGGCGGUGGGGGUCGAUGAUGCAGAAUACCCCUUCCUACCUACCGUUUGUGUAUGGUACUAAGGCAGGGUCAUAAAACUAAAGGACCAAAGUUAUUAAAAUCAAUUUUAAAUGUCCAGACGUUACUAAAAACUUAAAUUGCCAAAAAAACUUCCUGAUACAAUGAACACAAAUUUUCGAAUUUUCUGAAAGCGUUCAUCACACGUGUCUACCAACUAUCCACGGCUAUGACCGUGACAUGUAGUACGUGUAGAGUAGUACCCUAAAUGCGUAUAGGCGCGCCUAAUCAAAAGUCAUCGUGGGAAAGUUCACGUAACAAAAAAUAUUUAAUUGCUAGACUGUUCUACUGAUUAAAAACAUUUUUAGAGUGUAGGCCUACCGUAGCAUACUGUGGAUGCAUAGAUGAUCCUGUCUGGGUUAGCUGUCUACGAACUAUUCAUACGCACAGCAGAUGCUAAAUUCGAAGUCAGCCAGGAAGACUGUACCAACGAUGUUGCCAAGUAAUUUGUGCCAUUCCUGGGUAGUAUACGAUGAAAAAUAUCACCCUGAGUUGGUUCUGUGAUGGUGUUCCUUAUAGCGUACGGUAGAUGGUGCAUGCCCCUUGUGGAUUUCGUAAGGCGACGCCCAGUUGAGGAAAAACAAUAUUUAAUUGCCUGUAAAUGUGGAACAAAAUGAAACAAAAUAUGAAACAAAAGCAACAAAUAAUAUUGAUGAUUAGUGUGCAGCUGAAUGUUGAUGAUAAUAUUUACUAUACUCACGGACGUCUUAGUUGUUUCACAUUAAACAGUGAACCCGGAUGGAGACAUCGUUUUGAGAGGAUUCAAUGAAGAUACAGUAGGCCUAAUCUGCUACUGACAUCAUUGUGUCUAUCAUUAUAAACAAAAUCAUGUAUUACUGUACUCCGUGACCCAAUGAAGUCAAAAUGUUCAAGGUCUAUUUUGAAACGAAAUUGUAUGCGCACGACGCGCAAAAGUAGCAUUUUGCUUAAGUUCGCCUUUUAUAAACAAAAGUUGUAAUUAGUGAAUAUUGUGUUUUUACCGAGCUUAAGCCUACUAGUGUUUGCAAAAGCCAAUGAUUUGUGAUUUAUAAUAAUGUACUUUAAUAAUAGCAAGAACAGUAACAACACUAUUCAACAUUCGUGAUUCUUGUUUGCAUUUUAUGGCUAUUAAAGGUGGUUUGCCACGCGAAAUAAAA